UCUUCUCCGUCCUUUUUAGUUUUCGUUCAGUGACCUUUUAGUUUGUUAAGACAAAUCGUUAUGUUAUUAAGGCUAUUAAGGCCUGGUGUUGGAGGAAAAUUGGGGCAAAAUAAGAGAGCACUAAGUGCAAUCAAUAAGAAUGUAACAGGAGCUCCUCCAUUAGUACCCUGUGUUGUCAACAAGAGAAAUGUCAUUACUGAUAAUAAACCUAAUGCUGUUAACAAGAUCCCUCCCAUCGCCCAAUCACAAGGAAGUUAGCUGCACAUAUCGUAACAAAGCCGUCGCCAGUCCCAGUGGCACCAAACAGAAAUGAAUCAGAAGACUGCAUUAUUAUUGAUGCUGAAGAUUACAAGGCCACUGGUUAUUCUACCGUGCCAAUGUUUGUGCAACAUACAGAAGCAAUGAUGGAGGAAAUUGACACAAUGGAUGAGGAGAUAGAGAUGGAAGAUGUUGAACAUUUGUCAAUUGUUGAUUUGUUGACACAGACAGUUCUGAUAAAAAGAACUCACUUGCGGUGGUGGAAUACAUUGACGAUAUCUAUGAUACUGCAACAAGGCUGAGGUUGUCAAUUGCCGGAGUUAAGGUAGAUUUGCUAGAUGCAAGAAAGUAGCAGCAGAGAUCGAUGGAUCAGCGCCCCUUCCUUACGGUGUAUGCUUGGAGGAUACACUAGAAAGCAAUGAGGAAAAGAACGACGACUAUAAAGAUUUAACACAAGGAAAUAGACAAGAAUAUUCUACAAGGUAACAAACUAGCAGAAAUUGUUCUUAAAACAAAUAAAGAACAAUAGAUACAACAAAUACAACAAAUUGAGUUUGUCCCUUUUGAACUAGAAUACAAAUUCUAUUUUUUAGAUCAUAUUAGAUCAGAAGUUCUACUUUGGUCUCAUUACUUGGAGAUUUAGUUAGUUACUUUAUUUAAUGACUGGAAAUAAUGAGGUAGUUGAAAGUUGAACUUAUUCUCUCAAUCGGUGAAAAAAAGGAAUAUUACUUUUUCAGAACGCUUCUGCUAUGUCAUAUUACUUUAUCUGUAUGAAGAUAACUGAAGGUUACUUUAUAUUACUCUUCAGUUCUGUUUUUACUUUCUUAGGGGGACUCUAGGCUUUUCCGUAUUCAAUUGUUGCAUUUCUUUUUGUUUGACAUGUAGAAAAUUGGUACUUUUCUUCUAAGAAUUUAAGAAUUUGAUUUUGAAUUUUGAUUUAGUUUGGAAGGGUUAUACUACUUGAUAAUGGUAAUUUUGUGCAAAGGAAAUUGAAUUUGGGUGAAUUUUUUCCAUAAAAUUUAUACAAAUGUAGAAAUACUUAUAGAAGACAUGUAGCAGAAGUUAGAAUUCUGCAGUUUACAUGUUAGUCCAAUUGGAUGUAUUUCUAUUGGUAAGGUAAAUAGGUCAUGAUAUUAUAGCUAAUACAAGGCAUGUGUGGAUUUCAUGCCAUUGGUCUUACUUUUGUGGUUAUUACUAGCACUCAUCUUGCAGGGGCAAAAUUAUCGAAGGUACAACUCUAUUACACUUGAACAUACUUUAUCUUUCCUAUUUCUCCGUGUCCCUUACUUCCUAUCAUCUGAUAAGAGGAAUUAAACUCGAAAUUGUUGAGUUGUGUGAGAAAAAGAGGCCACGAUGAGCUACUAACAACAAUCAGUAGGUAAAUCUUGAAAUUAGAGAAGCUCACUUAUUAAUUGAUUGCUAAAGAAGAUGGCUUUGUUGUCACAAAAAAAAACUAUACAAAGCAAUCGAGUUAAAUGUAAAAGCAAAGAGUCUGUUAUCAUUCAUAAAAAAUUGCAAAUAGUAAGCUUUGUUGUGGUUAAUAUAGAUUUAGCUGAAUUCGUCGAUACAUGGGUAUCCAUUAGUUUUGUCAUCCACACCAAGGGUAUUACGGUAAGUGCACACCUGUCUUUUGAACAUCUAGGGUAUUCCACAAUUGCAGCUCUUUUAAUUUCUCUUGGUAACACGUGUUUUAGUGUGAGAUGCAACUGGCUUCCACCUUCCUUCAUAACCGAUUUAUGUCUUGCUUCUUCUUCUGUGUACUUUCUAUCAAACAACAAUGGAAGCUAAAAGCAAUAGAUUUGUGUGAAUCUCUGGGUUUGUAAUAUCACUAUUUUACUUGAUAUAUUUUGAGUUUUAGUGCUUCAGUCAUUUUUCUCUAUUUUUUCUCUAUAUAGAUAUAAUCUUUAACAUCUUCACUUCAUUUUUACUUUGUUUCUCAAGUACGCUCAACAAUGUUUUUAAUUGUCGGAGAUGAUGAUGGGUGGCUGGUGUUUUCAUUCUUGUUUUCCUCUUCUGUGCAAAUCCGUAAGCCGAAGUAGGUAAUACGAUUACGGUAAUUCGCUGGAAGUGACUAGCUGGAUUUUCAUUCACUUUCCUACUUUCAAAUCAGGUUUCUCCAUUUUGGUUCCAGCUUCUACUUGACAUAUGCUGUAUUUAUGAGCUCUGCAAAGUUUUCUCUCUCUUUUUUUUUUUUAAAAGAAAAAGUUGCUGAACUGUUUUUAUUUGGUUUUUCAUGUUCUUUUGGAUAUCUUCUAGAUGAAUUGUGUACAUGCAUGUCCAUAUUGAUAUCUUUGUUUUUGAAAAUAGAUGCAUACACAACACGUGCAUUUUUUGGGAUAUGAAAUUGCCAUAGAGUUUGUGUCAUUUAUGUGUUGUUUGCACUCCCAUUGAUGAUCUUAUAUUGUUUCUACUUUUUUUCCCUGAACUGAGCUUUGUUUCUUAGUAGAAUUAGCAUUAAAACAUUGAGCUUGAGGAAUGUGAUAUUACAAAGAAAUGGUACCAUGUGUUCAUUAUUGUAUUUGAUAACUUUGAACAUUGAGUUUGACGAAUGUGAUAUUAUAGUAGAAUAGUAGCAUGUGCUCUUUAUUGAACUUGGUGUUUGGAGAGUCAUCUUAUAUCAUAAACUUUGUCUCUAUAAUUGGUUUUGAGCUUCCUUGAUUGGUUUGGUUGUUUUCUCUUUGUUAUUUUAAUUAUUUAGUUUAUUCAAAUCAGGUAAUAUUUUGUUGCUUAGUUGAUUAACAAUCAAAACAUUAUUGAGGUGAGCCACUCUUAUUUGCAAGGACCUCCAUUUGCUAAAACUAAUGACUGCUUAGAGAAUGAAACAUGAGGCACAAACGAUAUGAAAGUUUAAGAUAAAAGGAUUAAAAAAAAAUUGGUAGCAUCAAUUUAGAUGUUGACGAACUCACAAAAGAAGGUUUGUCCAAGUAUAUCGAUUGUCAAACAUGGAAGUGCUUUGUUACUAUAGAUGGUCCUACUUUCAUUGAGGUCCUGCUGAUUUUAGUUCUUUUCUAAGGGGCUGGAAGAUUUAACGCGUUAGUGAAGAUCAGAGAUUGUGAGUUUUUUUCUAUGGAGCUAUUCUUAUAUCUUAUCAGGUGCUUCAAAUUCUUGAAUCACUACAUUAUGUUGGCUUCACUUUUCACUUUACGCCUCCACUGUAAUCAGUAGGGUUGGUCUCAUAAGCGUAAUUGAAGGAGAAUCUUACCAUAUCUUAUAGAUGAGAGAAGAAAAAGAGCAGGUGAAGGAUCUCGAGUUCUCAUUUGUGCCCAUAGAGCAUCUUAUAAUAAACUACAUCCACUUGAUGUUGUGUGGAGAUCGUGACAGUUUCCUACCAAAGAUUGAGAUUUUCUUUGUGGAGGCUUUGUUGAUCAGUGAACUAUACACAUUGAGAGAGUUCAGGACUUCAAAAUCUCCAUUCAAAGCUUAAAUUAAUUCUCAUACUAGAAUAUUAGCGCUCUUAAACAGAAGAUUGGAAUUGGGCGAGAAGUUUAGAAGUCAAGUUUGGAGCCAAUUAGGUAUCCUGGAUACAACAUUACUUCCAUGGCUAGAGAAACAAUGUCAAUCCAAGAACUCGCUUCGUACCACUAAUGGAGUCAGAUCCCUGUCAUCCCGGCCCGUAGCACUCUGGAACAUCUGGUUAAACAGAAACUGCAAUACUUUCAACAACACAACACUACCUCUACUUUUACCAUCACCAGGCAGGCCACUGAGUUCUACCAAGGUGGUAACUAUUAAUUACACAAAAAACCUGACCCCAAAACAACCAUUAUGGUUAAAUGGGAAAAACCCUCCUAUGAUUCGCUCAAAUUAAACACGGAUGAAUCCUUUCUUUAUGAAAAUAAGAAUGGAGGGCAGGCGGUGUCAUCAGAGAUACCAACGGAACAUGAAAGGAAGGAAUUGCAGCAAAAACUAUUACAAUUACAUUCCCCCUACAGACAAAAUUAUAUGCUUUACUGAAGGUGCUUGAACUAGCAUUCACAAAGAAUUUACAAACAUUGACAGUGGAAGUAGAUCACAGGUUCCUCCUACAUGGUCUGGGAAACCCCCCAAUUAGCCACAUCUAUCUUGAAGGAAACAAGGUGACACAUGCACUGGCAACCUAUGGAAGUCAUGGCACUGAUGAGCAAAAUGAAGGAAAACUAGUUUUUGGAAUGUUCCUACUAAUUUUAUAUUUUCAUAUUUAAACAAUGAUAAUUUAGAGAUAGAAUCGUUUAGAUCUAUCUCAGCUCUAUAAACACAUUUUACUUUCCCGCAUUUUAUUGAUAAGCCUUUGUUUUAGCAAAAAAAAAAAAAAAAAAAAACAAAGUUAGUUCUUGUUCAAGAUUAAUUAUUUUCUGGUUUCUCAUCCGGUGUCCAAUAUCCGUAUUGGGACCCCAAUUAAUCUGGAUUCAUUCCGCGUAAGCACAUUUAAGGGAAA
This is a long non-coding RNA of Lycium barbarum (goji berry), 4672 nucleotides long. RefSeq lists it as uncharacterized. The record is from RefSeq and is a predicted model, not a curated record. Lineage: Eukaryota; Viridiplantae; Streptophyta; Magnoliopsida; Solanales; Solanaceae. The transcript has 12 exons.